Long non-coding RNA from Rhodamnia argentea, 447 nucleotides. RefSeq lists it as uncharacterized. The record is from RefSeq and is a predicted model, not a curated record. The transcript has 2 exons. NCBI's taxonomy places the organism in Eukaryota, Viridiplantae, Streptophyta, Magnoliopsida, Myrtales, Myrtaceae.
UUCUUCUGGGCACUGAAGAUUUGAGGUUCCUGAGGAGGAUGAUGCAGUAUUUCAUUUGAGGGGUGAUGAGAACUGUCUCUCAAUCUGGAGCUUUCCUUUCGAUUCCGCACGUAACAGCGUGGAUGAUGGAGAUGGAGGUGCUGAUCUUGAGGCUGCGUCCCCUGAAAAGGGGCAACAGGAUUCUUGAGAAUUCUUAAAAACUUUGCAUCAAUCUAUAUCACGUCUUUCACGGAUCGGAAAUAUUGAAUGAUUGAUGGCAGAGGCAAAUCCAUGAUCUGCAGUGAUUCAGCAAUGUUGAGCUCUCGCGAUUUGUAACGAGUUAUAGCGAUUUGCGGCAUAGCUUUGGGCAGUCGCUCAAAGUAGAGUAUGAGUUUGUCUCGGCUGGGGUUUGUUUCGAUGUAACUAAUGUAUGAUGAAUGAUGAUGACCAAAUGAUAAUCUUUUCAUG